Papaver somniferum (opium poppy) is the source of this 1101-nucleotide long non-coding RNA. RefSeq lists it as uncharacterized. The record is from RefSeq and is a predicted model, not a curated record. Lineage: Eukaryota; Viridiplantae; Streptophyta; Magnoliopsida; Ranunculales; Papaveraceae. The transcript has 3 exons.
UUCUUCAUCAUUCGUUUGAACUCGAUGAAAAAAACACUAACAGAGUGUUUCAAUUUAGGUAGAAACAAAUUCGUUCACCUGAUCUCAAACUAGGGAUUCUAAUUUUGUUAACAAUUUAGGGUUUCCGCUUCGAUUGGUGGUUCAAUUUCAAUUUAGGAAGAUUCAGAUUAUAUCUACCCAAAUACACUAACCUAAACUCCAUUCCAAAGUUCAAAGAAAUCCAACCAGAUAAACAAACGUCAGCUAAAUAAUUGCAAUCCAAUACGUAAUCAUACUAAUUUAUCAAUCAACCCAAUAAUGCUUGCUUAUGCACUGAGUUUACUGCUUAGGUGCAUCUGAUUAUAAUUUUUGUGAUGAUUAAUUUUCUGCAGCAAGUGAACAAUCUACUACCGGAACUGAUGUUGGUAACUGGAUAGCAUUUACAGAGCCAAGGAUGCAAGGUUGAGUUCCUUCAACGCGAUCCGAGAAUGCCUCAAGGGAGAGACCCCGUGAAAGUCUGGCACGUAUUGAUGCUUCAGCGGAGUGCAACCAGGCCUCUAACUCCAGACCCCAUAACCGUCCAAGACUUAUCAAUUAACAGGAUCAACGUCACAUAAUACAGCAUCAAACAAAGAUUUCCGAGUUGGAACCAGUAGAUCUUGAUUUUUGCAAUGUAUAUGUACAGAGUGAGUGCCUAUGAAGUUUGUAUUCAUGGAAAACAGGUCCGAAGCUUACAGUGUUGAAGAUGUUGAUUCACUUCUAAGCAGGUACUAAACAAGAAAAUCUGUUGUGCCAGGCUGUUGGUAUUGCCAUCGACAAGGGGUGGUACUGCCUUUGUUGCCACAACUACACUAAUGGUUAAAAGAAAUUUAUCCAUUCAAAUGUAUUAGCUCUUUCCCAGCUUAUUUAUUUAAACACCGCUGAAUUGGGGGCCCUGGAAAGUAAUUGGGGGCCUCCCACUAGAGGAUAAAAAAGGUCACCCAAUCCUAAUUUGGGUCACUCCUUAUCCAAAUAUUUUUGGUAAUGCCUAAUUUAUCCCUUAUCUAAUUAGUGGUAAUCCCACUUAAUUAGUACAAAAUUUUAAAAUCAAAAUCAAAAUCAAAAUCUAAUUCUUUUUUUUCC